ACAGACAGACAGUCCUCAUCAUGUGAUUGUAGCAGUCUUAUUCACUACAGACAGACAGUCCUCAUCAUGUGAUUGUAGCAGUCUUAUUCACUACAGACAGACAGUCCUCAUCAUGUGAUUGUAGCAGUCUUAUUCACUACAGACACAGUCCUCAUCAUGUGAUUGUAGCAGUCUUAUUCACUACAGACAAACAGUCCUCAUCAUGUGAUUGUAGCAGUCUUAUUCACUACAGACAGACAGUCCUCAUCAUGUGAUUGUAGCAGUCUUAUUCACUACAGACAGACAGUCCUCAUCAUGUGAUUGUAGCAGUCUUAUUCACUACAGACAGACAGUCCUCAUCAUGUGAUUGUAGCAGUCUUAUUCACUACAGACAGACAGUCCUCAUCAUGUGAUUGUAGCAGUCUUAUUCACUACAGACAGACAGUCCUUAUCAUGUGAUUGUAGCAGUCUUAUUCACUACAGACAGACAUUCCUCAUCAUGUGAUUGUAGCAGUCUUAUUCACCACAAGGAAAAGGAAGCCAAGUUAAUGUUUUUAUUUGAUUUAUUCAGACAAUAUUUGAAGAACGAUCAUUGUUAUUUAUGAUAUUAAAAAAAGGAAAUGUUUUAAACUAAAACGUAGAUAUCCUGUGUUGUAUAAAGUUUAGGACAGGUCCAACAUUUGUCAGUUUCCCUCCUCUGGUCCUCCAGUACCCCCAACAGCACACGUUGUAGCCCCGGACAAACACACCUGAUUCAGCUCAUCGAGGGCUUGAUGAUUAGUUGACAAGUUGAAUCAGGUGUGCUUGUCCAGGGCUACAAUAGAAAUGUGUACUGUUGUGGGUACUGGAGGACUGGAGUUGGGAAACACUGAUUUAUGUCAUAAAUAUCCUAUACCAAAUCAAUGUUUCAAACUUCCAAAGGAUAAAAAACAUGCGAAGAAGAAUGUUGUCUUUGCUUUGUAAUGACAUGUUUUGUGCACUAUUAUUUCAAACAGUUAAUGUAUUGUUUGAGAACCGACCCCAUUUUCUUUACUUCAUAAAGAUUCAAUGAACACUCAUUUAAAACCUCCCUCACCUAACCUUGGUUCUACCUACUACACCCUCUCCCUUAGCCUGAAUUCCAGACCUAGUUUUGUGCUGACAUUCCACUCGUUGUACUCUGUGUCAUUGUCAAGCAUUGGCAUGAAAAGGAGUGGUAUGAUAGCAGAAACAGUGAUACGCAGGCUACCUCUCCCCACCCCUCUGCUUGUAAUACACUGAUAUAACUAACUCAUGCUUCCAGCACUACUAUGCCUUGCAUGCGCUGCCUACCGAGAAAAACAAUCAACCAAUCAGUGAAGUAAGCAGCAUACCAGUUCCCAUAAUGCACUGUGAUUGUCUGAAAGGGACUUAUGUUUGUUGGGUAGUACCACAUGUAUUUUGGUUGGAAUAUUUAAUUUGCUUAGAUUUCCCUUUCGUCUCAUGAUCUCAUUCACUCUUAUCGUCCCACUUGACCCACAGCAUUGGUCUGGUUUCCUAGGUCUCCAAUUCUCACAACUUAGGACUACUGUACUGACUCAUUACUGAUAAAAAAAAAACUUCUGUAUUUAUUUUACAUCUGUCUGAUUGGCUUAUUAUCAUGAUGUGACACAUGCAUCGUAGAGUCUGAUUGGCUUAUUAUCAUGACGUGACACAUGCAUCGUAGAGUCUGAUUGGCUUAUUAUCAUGAUGUGACACAUGCAUAGUAUGGUCUGAUUGGCUUAUUAUCAUGAUGUGACACAUGCAUCGUAGAGUCUGAUUGGCUUAUUAUCAUGAUGUGACACAUGCAUAGUAUGAAUAACGUGUAGAGGAAAAUAAUUGCCUUAAUCUAAAGUAAUUUUAUCAUACAACCAUAAUCUACUGUAAUUCUGCAGUAUGAGAUGAACUAUAAUGAUCUACUGUAUGUCAAGUGGAUUGUUUUACUUGGUCCAUUGUGGUAGAUGGUAUUGGUACCUGCCUACAGUCUGGUGGCAUUCCAGGUUGUUUACAUUACAGACAUGUUGAUACAGAUCUGAUUGAACUAAGAUAGCUACAAAUGUGAAAGAGAGUAGUGUUUAACAUUGCAGGAACCCCAUCAAUUACUUAAUGAUCUGUGCAAAGUGUAGGCAACCUCUCACAGAGCAAUGUGUAGGCAGCCUGGAACACCCACUCUUUCUCACAGAGCAAUGUGUAGGCAGCCUGGAACGCCCCCUCUUUCUCACAGAGCAAUGUGUAGGCAGCCUGGAACACCCCCUCUUUCUCACAGAGCAACAUGUAGGCAGCCUGGAACACCCCCUCUUUCUCACAGAGCAAUGUGUAGGCAGCCUGGAACGCCCCCUCUUUCUCACAGAGCAACAUGUAAGCAGCGUGGUUCUCCCUCUCUGUCUCACAGAGCAACAUGUAGGCAGAGUGGAACUCUCUCUCUGUCUCACACAGCAACAUGUAGGCAGCGUGGAACUCCCUCUCUGUCUCACAGAGUAACAUGUAGGCAGCGUGGAACUCCCCCUCUUUCUCACAGAGCAACAUGUAAGCAGCGUGGUUCUCCCUCUCUGUCUCACAGAGCAACAUGUAGGCAGAGUGGAACUCUCUCUCUGUCUCACACAGCAACAUGUAGGCAGCGUGGAACUCCCUCUCUGUCUCACAGAGCAACAUGUAGGCAGCGUGGAACUCCCUCUCUGUCUCACAGAGCAACAUGUAGGCAGCGUGGAACUCCCUCUCUGUCUCACACAGCAACAUGUAGGCAGCGUGGAACUCCCUCUCUGUCUCACAGAGUAACAUGUAGGCAGCGUGGAACUCCCUCUCUGUCUCACAGAGCAACAUGUAGGCAGCAUGGUUCUCCCUCUCUGUCUCACAGAGCAACAUGUAGGCAGCGUGGAACUCCCUCUCUGUGUCACAGAGCAACAUGUAGGCAGUGUGGAACACCCUCUGUCUCACAGAGCAACGUGUAGGCAGAGUGGAACUCUCUCUGUCUCACAGAGUAACAUGUAGGCAGCGUGGAACUCCCUCUCUGUCUCACUGAGUAACAUGUAGGCAGCGUGGUUCUCCCUCUCUGUCUCACAGAGCAACAUGUAGGCAGCGUGCUUCUCCCUCUCUGUCUCACAGAGCAACAUGUAGGCAGUGUGGUUCUCCUUCUCUGUCUCACAGAGCAACAUGUAGUCAGCGUGGAACUCCCUCUCUUUCUCACAGAGCAGCUAUGAUGGGACUCAUCCCAAGGCAGACACAGACGGUGUUCAGUCAGUCAGUCGCCUUAAUCAUGUGUUUCUCUUCUCUUCCCCUGGCUGUGUGUAAAGCAACGGAUAACUGAACUGUGUCUGUCUGUCUACUCUGUGCUGAGGAUCACUCCACUGCUUAGCCCCAACCUACCGUCAGGUUCCUCCCAUAGGCUGUAUAGGGUUCUCCCUUUCCCUCUUUGACAGGUGUGUUCAAAUCAAAUGUUAUUUGUCACAUGCGCCGAAUACAACAGGUGUAGACUUUACUGUGAAAUGCUUAUUUACGAGCCCUUUCCCAACAAUGCAGUCAAAAAGUAAGAAUAAUUAGCAAAAUAAAAAGGGAAUAGUAACACAAUAAAAUAACAGUAACGAGACUAUAUACAAGGAGUACCAGUACAGAGUCAAUGUGCAGGGGUACGAGGUAACUGAGGUAAUAUGUACAUGUAGGUAGGGGUAAAAGUGACGAGGCAAUCGGGAUAAGAUAAUAAACAGAUUAGCAGCUGUGUGUGUGUGUCUGUCGUCAUUAUGCAUGUCUGAGUGUGGGUGUGUGUGUUCUGCCUUUAUAGAUCUGUGGGAACUAUUUCUCUAGCAAAUUAGCAUCAGAUAGAUUGCUUUGCUUUCUGUUGGCAGCUCUGUUCUUAUUGGCUCGUUUGGCCCAAUCAUGUUGUCCAUUAACUGGACAGAAUGCGGGACUUCAACGUCAGUAACAAUUUGACCAGUGAGAUGUGUCUGGAUUCUGGAAUCAGAACCGAGGUUGAGUGUUCUAAGGGUUUUAAAUUCCUCUUGGUUGUAUGAUAACGGUCUGUGUUUACAUCCAGAGAUUGUGAUGUAAACAUCCACAUAGUACCACACCAAGCAGUAUUGCGAUAUCUUUUCAAUUCUAGGCUAUAUUCGGUACUUCCAUAAGCUAACUAACUGCAACUUUUUAAUAUAUAACUGUAAAAAGUGAAAAGUAUUAAUUUCAAAGAUCAUCUUGAUGAACCAUUGCAUAUUGCUUCAGUAAUGGCUUCAGUAAAGAGCUAACGGAAUAAACAGUGAUGCCAAUAAUCAAUCCAUUAAUUAUAUUUGUAUUUUAUUGUUAUUAUUGCACAAACAAAGUGGUAUAUUGUUACUUUUCUGACUGAGAUUUUGAUUUGUCAGUGGUGACAUGGUGGUGGGAUUGUACAGGUGUCACGAAGCUGUCAUAUCAUGCCUGUAUCUGUGCUCCAAUGAUUGUACUCAUUCAUGGCCAGGCCACAGAUACUGUGUUGGAGGUUUUGGGACAAUAGGCUAAACAGCUAAAAACAACAGCAACAAACAACAACAAAUUGAUAUGUUGGGUGAAUGGAUGCUCAUUGUUGCCUGUGUGACUUCAGUGUUAGAUAUUUCUUGAAAUGGUUCACGUUUUAGUCCUGUGCUGCAACGGUUUAGAAAUAUGUGUACAGUCAGAAGGAAAGACUGUAACAAGGGGAAGAUCUACAUUGUACAUAACUGUAAUUAUUUAUGUUUAUUUUAUCGUUCAUACCAUAUCAAUGCCUUGUACAGUGUGGUUUUUUCCAGUUCAUUUAAAAUUAUUUUGUAUUUUAUUUUUAUAAACUGGUUAUAAAUAAAAUACUCAUUCAGCAUGCAGAAAAUAA
Long non-coding RNA from Oncorhynchus tshawytscha (Chinook salmon), 4801 nucleotides. Lineage: Eukaryota; Metazoa; Chordata; Actinopteri; Salmoniformes; Salmonidae. The record is from Ensembl.